ACACGGGAUGCCAGUACGGCGAGUGAGCGGCAACAGCUCAAAUUUGAAAUCUGGCCCCUAGGGUCCGAGUUGUAAUUUGUAGAGGAUGCUUUUGGUGAGGUGCCGCCCGAGUUCCCUGGAACGGGACGCCACAGAGGGUGAGAGCCCCGUCUGGCUGGCCACCGAGCCUCUGUAAAGCUCCUUCGACGAGUCGAGUAGUUUGGGAAUGCUGCUCAAAAUGGGAGGUAUAUGUCUUCUAAAGCUAAAUAUUGGCCAGAGACCGAUAGCGCACAAGUAGAGUGAUCGAAAGAUGAAAAGCACCUUGAAAAGAGGGUUAAACAGUACGUGAAAUUGUUGAAAGGGAAGCGCUUGUGACCAGACUUGGGCGCGGCGGAUCAUCCGGGGUUCUCUCCGGUGCACUUCGCCGCGUUCAGGCCAGCAUCAGUUCGGCGCGGGGGAAAAAGGCUUCGGGAACGUGGCUGCUCCGGCAGUGUUAUAGCCCGUUGCAUAAUACCCUGCGCUGGACUGAGGACCGCGCAUCUGCAAGGAUGCUGGCGUAAUGGUCACCAGCGACCCGUCUUGAACCAACGGACCA
This 574-nucleotide ribosomal RNA is filed under the name Trichoderma caribbaeum. RNAcentral describes it as "partial large subunit ribosomal RNA". It matches the Rfam family "Eukaryotic large subunit ribosomal RNA", at positions 68 to 668 of the family's 3401-position model. Lineage: Eukaryota; Fungi; Ascomycota; Sordariomycetes; Hypocreales; Hypocreaceae. The record is from RNAcentral.